AUUCUUUCUCCGGAGAAAAAAGGAACCAAGCACAAAAUAAUGAUAAAGGUUAUUAGAGCAGCAAAGAACAGAAGAUCUCGCUUGCCGUCCAUUUUUACUCUCCUUUGUAACAGAUACCAAUAAAGAAUACCAAUAAUAUAAAAUUUGUCAAUAUCUCUAAAAAUUUGAGCGGGAGCAAACCUGGGGAAGUAAAACAUUUCAGUACCCAGAGGAAAAGAAAUCGAACAGAUCCCCUUAGUAGCGGCGAGCGAAAAGGGGGAAGCCUAAACUCUUCGAUUCGACACUACGUGUCUCACUCAGAGCAAGCCUGUUGUAAAAUAGGUUUACCCUGAGCGAGGUACGCAGUACCGAGUCGAAGGGGGUAAUAAGGAUAGUACACCAAAAAUUUGAAUUUCGGUCUCCAUUGAUCGAGAUUCAAGUUUUUAAAGAAGUUACAAAUUCCAAAGUUAGCAGAACGGCCCUGGAACGGCCGACCAUAGAAGGUGAUAGUCCUGUAAGCGAAAACUUCUGGAACUUCUGUAUUAUUUCUUGAGUAGCCCGGGAUAAGGAUGUCCUGGGUGAAUUUGCCCAUACUACUGGGUAAGGCUAAAUACUUUUAGUGAUCGAUAGUGAACAAGUACCGUGAGGGAAAGGUGAAAAGCACCCCGGUUAGGGGAGUGAAAUAGUAACUGAAACCAUAUGCCUACAAAGAGCAGGAGCCUGGCCGUCGCAAGACGUCCGGGUGACUGUGUGCCUAUUGAAGAAUGACCGAGCGAGUUUAUCUAAAUUGCUCUAUAAGUUCUUAUGGAACGGAUAGAUAGGGAAACCGAGUGUUAAAAGCGCGAUUUAGAACUAGAUACUUCUCGUCCAGAGUUUAUACAAAGGACGAAGAGUAUCUAAUUCUAUAAGCAGUUUGGAUAAGACCCGAAGCCAGAGCGAGCUAACCAUGACCAGGGUGAAAGUUGUCGAAAGACAACUGGAGGCCCGAACCGAUAGAUUGCUCAAUAUCUCCGGAUGAGUUGUGGUUCGAAGUGAAAAGCUUAUCGAGCCUGGUAAUAGCUGGUUCUCCCCGAAAUGCGUUUAGGCGCAGCGGUAUUAAGUAGCUUGGGGGGUAGAGCACUGAUUGGUUUGCCGUGCCCUUUUGGGUAGGUUUACCAAAUAAACUCCGAAUACCCAUGUGUAAUUAAUACCAGUGAGUACGUGAGGGCAAAGCUUCACGUACGCGAGGGAAAGAGCCCAGAUCACCGCUUAAGGUCCCUAAAUCUAUGCUAAGUGUGAAAGGAAGUAUUUUGCCUCAGACAGGUAGGAGGUUGGCUUAGAAGCAGCCACCCUUUAAAGAGUGCGUAAUAGCUCACUACUCGAAUUCGCCGCAAGGCGAAGGGGCAAGAUGCGCCGAAAAUGUAACGGGGCUAAGCAUAGUACCGAAAGCGUGGAUUCAUUCCGAUUUAUCGGAGUGAGUGGUAGGGGAGCAUUCCCAUUGCUGUGAAGGUACACUGUGAAGCGUGCUGGAGCGAUGGGAAGGGAGAAUGCUCGGAUGAGUAACCGCAAGUGACGUGAAAACCGUCACCGCCGUAAGUCUGAGGUUUCCUCCGCGAUGGCAAUCAUCGGAGGGUUAGGCGUUCCUAAGGAUAACCGUGCUUUUGGGCACGGGAUGCUGAUGGACAGCCGGUUAAUAUUCCGGCCCCGCUUAUAUGUUCGAAGGGAUGACGGGCAAAACAAGAUCGAGCGCAUUAUGGAUUUGACGUUUUUGGCCUGUAGGAUGCUGACCAGGAAAAUCCGGUCAGGGCCGCAAGGCACAUCCAACGGUUGAAGAAAUCCGGAUUCGUCCGGGAAUUCGAUCGAAGAGGGCUCCAAGAAAAGUCUCUAAGAUUGGCAUAUAAGCGUACGUACCGAAAACCGACACAGGUAGACUGGUGUAAGUGCACCAAGGCGAACGGGUGAUUAUUGGCUAAGGAACUCGGCAAAAAAGCGGCCGUAACUUCGGGAUAAGGCCUUCCAUCGCAAGAUGGACGCAGCUAAAGAACCCCUGGCGACUGUUUAUCAAAAACACAACUCCGUGCUAAGCCGAAAGGCGCUGUAUACGGGGUGACGCUUGUCCGGUGCUGGAACGUUAACGGUUGAAGUGGUGCAGCAAUGCACUGCGGAAGCCCGAAGCGCCAGUGAACGACGGCAGUAACUAUAACUGUCUAAAAGUAGCGAAAUACCUUGUGGGGUAAGUUCCCACGCGCAUGAAUAGCGCAACGACUGGGGGACUGUCUCAGCCAAUAGCCCGGUGAAAAUGCAAUGUCAGUAAAGAUGCUGACUACCCGCGCCAAGACGGAAAGACCCCGGAAGCUUUACUGUAGCUUGGUAUUGGUCUACGAGUUGUUAUGCGUAGCGUAGUGGGUAGCCUUUGAAGUGUCUCUCUCGGGAGGCAUGGAGGCGCCAAUGAAACACCCAUCUUAACGAUUUGUAGCUCUAACCGGUAUGACCCUAAAAGGGUAUUACAUAAGCUAAAGUGAGCUCCUGGUAAUGGAGUAAUUUUAGUUUUAUCAAUUUUAUCUUUUUAGGGUUAUAUCGAGACAGUGCCUGGCGGGCAGUUUAUGUGGGGCACAUGCCUCCUAAAAAGUAAUGGAGGCGUUCAUCAAGGUCGGCUAGUUCCGGAUGGAAAUCGGAACGAUAGCGUAAAGGCAAAAGCCGGCUUAACUGCGAGACGGAUGUGUCGAGCAGAUGCGAAAGCAGGACUUAGUGAACCGACUCUUUGCGGGAAAUUUGAAUAACAUUUAUUUGUUAUUCAAGUUUCUCCUGCUCGUAGGAGCGGAGAAGAUCAUCAGAUAAAAGCUACUCCGGGGAUAACAGGCUGGUACCACCCGAGCGUUCACAGCGACGGUGGUGUUCGGCACCUCGAUGUCGGCUCGCCCUAUCCUGGGACUGAAGAAGGCCCCAAGGGUUUGGCUGUUCGCCAAUUAAAAGGGUACGCGAGCUGGGUUCAAACCGUCGUGAGACAGGUUGGUCCAUAUCUGGCGUGGGCGUUGAUACUUGAGAGGAGUUGUCCCUAGUACGAGAGGACCGGGAUGAACGAACCUCUGGUCUACGAGCUGUUCUGCCAAGAGCAUUGCUCGGUAGCUAUGUUCGGUUCUGAUAAGCGCUGAAAGCAUAUAAGCGCGAAGCAGGCCUCAAGAUAAGGUAUCUGAUCCGCAGUAGAUGACUGCGUUGAUAGGGCUCAGGUGGAAGCGCCGUGAGGCGUUGAGCCGAGAGCUACUAAUCGAUCAAACAAUUUAAGUAG
This 3244-nucleotide ribosomal RNA is filed under the name groundwater metagenome. Its description in RNAcentral is "bacterial LSU rRNA". It matches the Rfam family "Bacterial large subunit ribosomal RNA". The record is from RNAcentral.